AGAGCGAACGCUGGCGGCAGGCCUAAUACAUGCAAGUCGAACGGAUCCUUCGGGAUUAGUGGCGGACGGGUGAGUAACACGUGGGAACGUGCCCUUUGGUUCGGAACAACUCAGGGAAACUUGAGCUAAUACCGGAUGUGCCCUUCGGGGGAAAGAUUUAUCGCCAUUGGAGCGGCCCGCGUCUGAUUAGCUAGUUGGUGAGGUAAAGGCUCACCAAGGCUUCGAUCAGUAGCUGGUCUGAGAGGAUGAUCAGCCACACUGGGACUGAGACACGGCCCAGACUCCCCUACGGGAGGCAGCAGUGGGGAAUAUUGGACAAUGGGCGCAAGCCUGAUCCAGCAAUGCCGCGUGGGUGAAGGAAGGUCUUCGGAUUGUAAAGCCCUUUCGGCGGGGACGAUGAUGACGGUACCCGCAGAAGAAGCCCCGGCUAACUUCGUGCCAGCAGCCGC
Molecule: ribosomal RNA, 449 nt
Filed under: uncultured bacterium
Lineage: Bacteria
Description: SSU rRNA
Rfam family: Bacterial small subunit ribosomal RNA
Source: RNAcentral